UCGCGAAAACUUUGCAAUACACGAAAGUGUGACAGGGUCAUCCCGAGUGCCGACCGCUGAGGUUGGCUUUUACCCAGUCUAGAAAGCUGGGGGAAUAAGGAGAGGGCAAGUCUGGUGU
Molecule: ribosomal RNA, 118 nt
Filed under: uncultured archaeon
Lineage: Archaea
Description: partial 16S ribosomal RNA
Rfam family: Archaeal small subunit ribosomal RNA
Source: RNAcentral